UGAGUCAGUCCCUAGUGUGCCUGUUGUUCUAUCAAGAGCAUUGCAGGGUAGCUACACUGGUUCGGGAUAACCGCUGAAAGCAUCUAAGCGGGAAGCCCAUCCUAAGAUAAGGAAUCCCUAUAAACCCCUGGUAGACUACCAGGUUGAUAGGCAGCCGGUGCAAGAGCCGUAAGGCUUUAAGCCUAGCUGUACUAAUCGGUUGAUUGAAAU
Molecule: ribosomal RNA, 210 nt
Filed under: Candidatus Beckwithbacteria bacterium CG22_combo_CG10-13_8_21_14_all_01_47_9
Lineage: Bacteria; Candidatus Beckwithiibacteriota
Description: partial 23S ribosomal RNA
Rfam family: Bacterial large subunit ribosomal RNA
Source: RNAcentral